UGGCUCAGACGGUAAAGCGUCUGCCUGCAAUGCGGGAGACCCGGGUUCGAUCCCUGG
Ovis aries (sheep) is the source of this 57-nucleotide transfer RNA. It matches the Rfam family "tRNA", at positions 8 to 63 of the family's 71-position model. From Rfam's summary of the family: Transfer RNA (tRNA) molecules are approximately 80 nucleotides in length. Their secondary structure includes four short double-helical elements and three loops (D, anti-codon, and T loops). Further hydrogen bonds mediate the characteristic L-shaped molecular structure. tRNAs have two regions of fundamental functional importance: the anti-codon, which is responsible for specific mRNA codon recognition, and the 3' end, to which the tRNAs corresponding amino acid is attached (by aminoacyl-tRNA synthetases). tRNAs cope with the degeneracy of the genetic code in two manners: having more than one tRNA (with a specific anti-codon) for a particular amino acid; and 'wobble' base-pairing, i.e. permitting non-standard base-pairing at the 3rd anti-codon position. NCBI's taxonomy places the organism in Eukaryota, Metazoa, Chordata, Mammalia, Artiodactyla, Bovidae. The record is from Rfam.